CCUACGGGUGGCAGCAGUGGGGAAUAUUGGACAAUGGGCGAAAGCCUGAUCCAGCCAUGCCGCGUGUGUGAAGAAGGCCUUCGGGUUGUAAAGCACUUUCAGUGGGGAAGAAAGCCUUGGGGCUAAUACCCUCGAGGAAGGACAUCACCCACAGAAGAAGCACCGGCUAACUCCGUGCCAGCAGCCGCGGUAAUACGGAGGGUGCGAGCGUUAAUCGGAAUUACUGGGCGUAAAGCGCGCGUAGGCGGUCUGAUAAGCCGGUUGUGAAAGCCCCGGGCUCAACCUGGGAACGGCAUCCGGAACUGUCAGGCUAGAGUGCAGGCGAGGAAGGUAGAAUUCCCGGUGUAGCGGUGAAAUGCGUAGAGAUCGGGAGGAAUACCAGUGGCGAAGGCGGCCUUCUGGACUGACACUGACGCUGAGGUGCGAAAGCGUGGGUAGCAAACAGGAUUAGAUACCCUAGUAGUC
RNAcentral lists this ribosomal RNA (465 nucleotides) under Vreelandella stevensii. RNAcentral's name for it is "partial 16S ribosomal RNA". It matches the Rfam family "Bacterial small subunit ribosomal RNA", at positions 338 to 795 of the family's 1533-position model. The record is from RNAcentral. Lineage: Bacteria; Pseudomonadati; Pseudomonadota; Gammaproteobacteria; Oceanospirillales; Halomonadaceae.